CCUACGGGUGGCAGCAGUGGGGGAUAUUGCACAAUGGGGGGAACCCUGAUGCAGCGACGCCGCGUGUGGGAAGACGGUCCUCUGGAUUGUAAACCACUGUCCCCAGGGACGAAAAUGACGGUACCUGGGGAGGAAGCUCCGGCUAACUACGUGCCAGCAGCCGCGGUAAUACGUAGGGAGCGAGCGUUGUCCGGAAUUACGGGGUGUAAAGGGAGCGUAGGCGGGGAUGCAAGUUGGGUGUCAAAACUACCGGCUCAACUGGUAGUCGCACUCAAAACUGCAGCGCUUGAGUGAAGUAGAGGCAGGCGGAAUUCGUAGUGUAGCGGUGAAAUGCGUAGAUAUUAGGAGGAACCCCAGUGGCGAAGGCGGCCUGCUGGGCUUUUACUGACGCUGAGGCUCGAAAGUGUGGGGAGCAAACAGGAUUAGAUACCCCUGUAGUC
RNAcentral lists this ribosomal RNA (440 nucleotides) under uncultured bacterium. RNAcentral describes it as "partial 16S ribosomal RNA". It matches the Rfam family "Bacterial small subunit ribosomal RNA", at positions 338 to 795 of the family's 1533-position model. The record is from RNAcentral.